ACUCUCUUCCUCUCAAGAACUCUCUCUCUCUCUCUCUCUCUCUCUCUCUCUCUCUCUCUCAUCUUCUGCAUCUCUUACGACAUCACUCUCUGAUCACGAAAAGGCUGCUAGUUAGUUUGGGGUUUGACGCUAAUCUUCAGUUCGAGGCUACAGCGGAGAUGGAGUUCGGGUCGUUCGGUGAUGCACCGUCGACAUCGAGUCGAGUGGUAGAACCCGACAUGCAAGAUCGUCGUUCCUCGUCUCUUGUCGUUCUGAGGUAAAAACCCAAGAACCCAUCAAUUUUGGAUUUUGGUUUUAAGAGAAGUUGGGUUCUGAUUGUUGUUGACAAUUUGGCUGCUGGUGACGACGAUGCCGGAAUCGAUUGCGUAUGCUCCCUUGUUCGUGAGCUUUGAGGCAGAAGACCCAGACCUCUUUAAGUUGUAAGUAUAUGUCUGGGAACCUAUCUUGUGUUUUUAAGCUUGGAUUAUUAAAGAAAUAAGUUUGAUAUUGGGUUUUUGAAUUUGGAUUUUGGCUUUCGGUGAUGACGGGAAACCGGAACUUAAUUGGGUUGAGAAGCAAUAUAAGGAUUUUCCAUUAAGUCAGAAUUGAGAAGGAUGCAGAGCGUUGGACGAUGAAGGUAACAGAGAAGGAAACAGAAAAAGAGUAGAGAAUGUUCAGUUGCUUGGUCCAACAACGCAGCAGGAAGAAAGAGUUUAAAAUAAAGAAUUUAUAAGUUACUGAGAUUGUAAGCAAUGGUGGUGUUUGCCAAACAUUGUGGAGUAAAGGUUCGAACUCCAGGAAUAUCAGGUAGGGGAUUCAGGACUCUCCUCGAUUAGUGGCUUUCAUAUAUAACGUAUAUACAAUGGUGAUUGCAUGGCUAUGGUUAUUUCCUUAUGAAUUUAAAGAUUUUGAUAUUUUAUUGCCAUGCUUGUUUUCAAUUGUUUUCAAUAUUGUGUGAUGACCUGAGAUUGAGCGGAGCAUAGCGACUACCUUGGGUUUCGAUCCCCUAAACCUUCGGAGGAGCUGUAUGGACGGGAUGGUGUCUUACACAUCCUUCGAGGUGUGGCACCACUUCUAGGUGAUACGGCAUAAACGGACACUCUCGCUACUUUUUGCCGGUUAUGAUGUAAAUCUUGGUAAGGGUGUAGUUGGCAUAGUGACCGGUCAUCAGGUUUGUGUUUUCUGGGCCCGCAAAUGUUUCUGAAACAAAAUCUAUGCCUUGUGAUUUGAUAUCUAUUUUUAUCCAUGUACGUAGUUUUCACAUACUGGCUAGUAAAUUAAAUAGUUUUUAAACCUAGUUGGGUUGAGUCCUUAUUGAGCAGCGAGGACGAAAGCUCACCCCUACAACAGCUUUGGAUGCAGGUACUGUGCACAACAACGGAAGAGAGCUGAAUCAAGCGGGAUGUGCAUAAUUGUUCAAUGUUAAGUGUCUUUGAAACUUUGUUAUCUCAUGUAAGGUUUCCAUUUCAUAUCCUUGUGUUUGGUACAUUUUUUUUUGUAUUAUUGGAAACCUUACUCGAAGUUGUUUGUCUUCCAAUUGCCUUAUUCUUUGACCAUUUACCUACACCGUCAAUGAGCCAUGUUUUAGAUAGUAUCAAAUGUCAUUUUGGAUUGUACUUCCAUACUAGUUUUGCCUUGUGGUUUAGGGUUUAGAGCUUAACUUCAAAGAAAGUUAAAUUGAUUUCUUUACACGUUUUACACCUCAAAAAAAGUUUACGCUUCCGGCUUCGAUUUUGAGCUCAAACUCUAGUGAAAACUAUGGCUUGUUUUAAAUAAAACGCCUUGCUGUUCUUUAAGAUGUGAGUUGGAUGAUCUGGCUUAUGUUUUAGAGACUCGCGGCACUGUAAUGUAUUCAAACUGGUGAGGUGCAGUUUGGGGCGUUACAUUGAGGUCCAUGAAGACCUUUUGUUACUAUAUGUGCUUAGAUGAUCAAUUUCACCAGCAGCGUUUGCAAUGGCUCUAUCCUAUACUCAGCUUCAGUAUAGCUUCUUGAAAACAUUUCACCAGCAGUAUUGCUAGGCUCCAACUAACUUCUGUAUAAAUCCCAUAAUUCACCUUCACAUUUGAAUAAUUGAGUGUGUGGAAGAUGUGGAGUAGGAAAGGGAAUGCAGGAAGACAUACCUGCUUUUGACACUAGACCAGUGGCAUACUUCUGCUGAUUAAUAAAAAUACCAUAUAUGCUUCCGGUAUUCAACUUGUAGACCAAGAAAGUAAGUCAAGUGCCCCAUAGCUUUCAUUUAUCAUAUACACUGCUUAUAUCAUCAAUCACUAGCUGAACUAAGUCUUGCAUUAGAACCUGUGAUAAUGAUAUCAUCUACAUACAUAGUAGAAUAACGACACCAGUUGAAUCUUUUUCCACAAACAAACUAGUAUCAGAAUGUAAAGCUUUAUUUCAAGAGCUGGAAGAUAUCCUGUGAACUUUUCAUUCAUUCCACGCACGUGGAGCUUGCUAUUUGUCCAUAUAAGGAUUUCUGGAGUUUGUAUAAAUAUUGUGGAUUAUCACCAUCAAGAAAGCCUCUUAAGUUUUUUCAUGCAUCUAAAUCUCCCUUCUAAAUUCCCAUAAAGAAAUGUAUUUUUCACUUAAAGUUAUCAUAAUGUCAAACCAUUUGUAGCUGCUAAAGCAAUAACCAUCCUCAUUUUUGUAUGUCUGACAACUGGGCUAAAGGUUUCGUCAAAGUCAAGACCUUUGUUGACGGAAACCUUGAGCCACCAAGCUGGCUUUGUAUUUUGACACAAUCCCAUCAAUCUGGUUUUUCCUUUAUCUUGUUGACCCACUUGCACCGUAAAAAGUUUCUAUCAGCCUGCCUGGAGGUGGAACAAGUAUCCAAGUACCCUGUGUUUGUAAGGCUUGAAUUUCCUUAAGCGUUAUCUGUUUCCAUUCUGGUUUAGUAGCUGCGGCCUUAUAGCAAGAAGGCUCAACUGAGUCCCUCAUAUCAGAAAUUAAUGCUGGUGAAACCAAAGUAAUAUGAAUAUUCAUCAUAUUUCUGCUGGUGAAUCACACUAAAGAGACAGUGAUUAUAUUCAAACUUAUAGUGUUUGUCUCUUUUACAACACCAUUGAUCCUCAUGUCUUGGGACUUGUUCUCA
Rosa chinensis is the source of this 3065-nucleotide long non-coding RNA. RefSeq lists it as uncharacterized. Lineage: Eukaryota; Viridiplantae; Streptophyta; Magnoliopsida; Rosales; Rosaceae. The transcript has 3 exons. The record is from RefSeq and is a predicted model, not a curated record.